Molecule: long non-coding RNA, 1057 nt
Organism: Oncorhynchus kisutch (coho salmon)
Lineage: Eukaryota; Metazoa; Chordata; Actinopteri; Salmoniformes; Salmonidae
Exons: 2
Source: RefSeq, a predicted model, not a curated record
UUGCUCUCUUAGAAUUAGGUUGCUUUCCCAAACAGAUACAUGCGCAUCCCUCCCUCACUCUCUCUCUCUCUCUCUCUCUCUCUCUCUUUCAUUCUCUGUCUCUCUCUCUCCCUCUCUCCCUCUCUGUCUCUCUCUCCCCUACUAAUCACUGUCUAAUCUACCUACUAAUCAUGAGCCCUUUCUGCUUCCUGUGUCCCUGUGUGUGUGUCAUCAUGUUUAUCAGUCUGCUUGUGAAUGUGAAAGGCGAUCAGCAGUGAUAGAGGUGAAUAGGACUAUCUGCCUUUGAAACCUUGGCGUGUGGGUGUGCCCCCCUACAGGACGAGUCCACCGCUUAACGAGGUGUGUUCACCUGUCCCUGUAGGAGUGCCAGGUGCUUCCAAGGCAGAGAAAGACCAAGGAUGGUGUCUACCGGAGAACAGGAGAUCUACAGUAUAUGGUACGAUGACUGAAAACAACUCUCUGUGCCUCAUAGGGUUGCAAAGGGUCUGAAACUUUUCGGGUAAAUUUCCAGAAAAAUUCCAGAAAUUUGACAUGGGAAGUUAAGCCCAGGAAUAUUGGGAAUUUUGCUUAAAUUCAUCAAAAACAAUUAGUUUAUAACAGUGAAUCUUUUUUUGUGGGAUACACAUAAGGCAAUAAGGCAAUGGUAGGUCUUGUGGCAUAUUUUGGUUAAACUAUCCCCAAUUCAAUGGAUUUUCAACCCUCUGCAUGCACAGUGCAUUCUUCCAUCACAUGUACAGCUGAUUCUCAAGAUCUUGUACACUAAUGAGAUGCUAUUGAACCCACACUACUACACUGUCUGAGCCAAGGACUACAUGCUUCCUGGUAAGUUUUGAAUACAACACUGGGUGGGGUGAAUAUAUUUUAGAUGACAUACAUAUUUUUUUGGUUAACUAGUAAAUAGUAGCCUACAGCAAAGUCUGUUUCAAUCAUUUCUAACUUGUUAAAAAAAAUUCUGCUAGUUAGUUUUUGCUACCAUGUGUGUUUUAGCUGGCUUGAGCCUGCUGACUGAGGAGUGUUAUUUCACCUGUUUCCAUACAUGUUUCAUUUUAAAACAUUU